Pipistrellus kuhlii (Kuhl's pipistrelle) is the source of this 2330-nucleotide long non-coding RNA. RefSeq lists it as uncharacterized. The record is from RefSeq and is a predicted model, not a curated record. The transcript is spliced from 2 exons. Lineage: Eukaryota; Metazoa; Chordata; Mammalia; Chiroptera; Vespertilionidae.
CCUCCUCUCUGCACCCGGGGGGGUGACCCGGAACCUGGAGGCAGGGUGGGUGGUGUCUGUGCAUCCCGGGGUUGCUGCCAGUUAGCUGGAAGAUACUGCACGGGGUUCCAUGUUCAGACCUUUCCUGUGAGCCUAUUGCAACAAUGAAAAACAAACAAGCAACUACAACUCCACAAAACACCCCGGCCAGUUUGGCUCAGUAGCUAGAGCGUUAGCCCUGGGACUGAAGAGGUUCGAUGCCGGUGGAGGGUGGUAACCUCGGUUGCAGGCUCCAGACCUGGCCCUGGUCAGGAGGCAACCAAUUGGCGUGUCUCUCUCACACCGAUAUUUCUCUCUCUCUCUCUCUCUCUCUCUCUCUCUCUCUCCCCCCUCCCUUCCACUCUCUAAAAAUCCUCCGGUGAGGAUAACCAACCAAACAAACAAACAAAAAGCAGUUGAGUCCUAAGUCUGCCCUGGCUCCACUCCCACACCCCGCCAGAACCUGUCCCUUCUCUCUCCUUCCCAGGGAGGGGGUGCCAUCUUGUCUUGGGGAGCACAGUGAGUACUCAGUCCCUGCACCAGGGUGCCCCUCAGCAGAGCACACUGCCCUAGCAGUACUGGUCUGGCACCCUGGAGGCCUGCAUUGGCCUCUCCUGCUGCUUCAUAGGUAAGGGGGGGGGGGGGUUUCUUCGCUUCCUCCCUCAGGGGGCAGAUUUCCAUGUUGGGGUGUCUGCCUCCCGCAGCAAUUUCUGCCACCCUGGAGGACAAGAGGAGGCUCAGUAGGGGAGACCUACCCACACACACAUUGCCUUGAAAACAUCUGCUUUCCCUUCCAUCAUCCUGCCCCCUCGCCGAAGGAUAGUGUGGAAAUAUGACUUCAGCUCCCACGUAGACCCAAACAGUGGGCCCAAGGAACCUAACACCCACUCCUCUGGCUUGAGGACCUUGCUCUGCCCCCUCACAGGUCCUGGGGGGAGUUUGGGAGGAAUAUCUGGCAGGAGACACGGGUUACUUUCCAUAAAAGUCACAGAAGUCACGGCUGCAGCUCUUGGGACUGUCCAAGGCUGGCCAGCUCAGACGGCACCCAGAAGGCAUGGUGUUCCCAGCCAGGGCUGCCCUCAAACUGCCGGUGCCGCCAAGAUGGCAGCUGCUGCCUCUCCCCCCAGGAUGCACACUCUGGCUGUCACCGGGCUCUCUUCCCUGAGUCCUGGACUUAUGCUUGGCCACUGCACCGUCAGCCCGUGGAGCUCCCCUGCAGGCUGGGACACUCGCAUCUCUCUGGGUUCCUGGACCUUUGCCCUCCUUGGCUGCGUGGUUAUUUGUCUUUGUGCGGGGCAGCCAGGAUGAGAGUUCCAGCUGCAAGGGACGGUGGCGGUGCUGCCCUUUCGGUUUUUCUCCUUUCUCUCCAGCGGCUCUCGGGCAGGCUCCCCUCCACAGCUGGCUGUUAACAUUCUAGUAGGUAUCCUUGAGCUGCGUCUCAGGCACCCUCCUCUCAUCUCCAUUCUCACCCUGGUCUCUCUCUCCCAUUCUCAGCUGCCACAUUUACAUACCCAGCCCAGGCCCCUCCCCAGAACUAGAUAUUGAUGGCCAAGUGUCCCUUUGACUCCUUUACCCGGAAGCCCACAGGCCCACCUUGUCCUCCAGAGGCGAACUCCGCCCCCGUACACACCAGGUGCAUGAACCAAAGGGCAGGCGAUUACCCUGCCCCCGCCUCUGCCUCUCCCUCGCCAACCAGACACAAGCCAACAGCAAGUCAGCAUCUCAACUUCCAAAACAAUCCCAGAACCUACCUUCUCCUCAGCAUCAGUUGCACCAACCUAUGAAAACCUCCAUCAUCUCUCACUUUGACCGAUGCAGUCACCUUCAGUCUUGUCACCUCUAUCUACGCUGGUUCCUUUUUAAUUGAUUCUGCAUAAAUCUGCAAGUCUGAACCUGCCUCUCCCCUGACUAAAGCGCUCCGAGGGCUUCCCAUUGCCCCAUGACCCACAAGGUUCCAUCGAUUGCAGCCUGGCCUGCCUCUCUGGCAUCGUCUCACACCUCACUGCUCCUUGUACUCUGCAUGUCCAAAGGUCUUCUCCCUCCUGCUGCUCUCUGCCCAGGCUUUUCCCUCUCCGCCUGAUGAAAGCCUGUUCGUCAUUUGGAUCAACCCCUGCCCGGGAAAACUUCCCCUGACUUGGAGAUUCCUCAACUACAAACUCUUUCCUUGCUCCUGUCAACUGCAGUUCUAAACUUGUUUGUGGGGUGACCUAACCAGAGUCUGUCUUCCUCAUUGGACUGUUAGCUCUGUGAGGGCAGGAACCAUCAACAUGGAAUCCCCAGUGAAUAAAGGAAUGACUGCUUAUUGUACUAAA